This 537-nucleotide small RNA is filed under the name Rattus norvegicus (Norway rat). Its description in RNAcentral is "uncharacterized LOC108351603". The record is from RNAcentral. Lineage: Eukaryota; Metazoa; Chordata; Mammalia; Rodentia; Muridae.
GUGCCGGGCACAUUUAUACAUCUGGGUGAGAUUGCAAAUUUGGUUUGCAUAUUACAAAUGCUGUGAGCUGCAUAGUUCUCCUAAGCAAGGAGGUGGACUUCAUCCUCCUUACCACUUUCACCCUUGCCUACCCCAGGGACUGUGUUACAAGGUAACAGAAUGGAUUACAUUUAUUAAAACAUGAUACCGUGAGUUUAUUGUGACACGUUUUUGUCUGAACACUGCUGAAGAAUAAAAAAAACAAUUUACUAGUUUUUGUACUAAGUAUAGAAAUAAUGGCCAUUCGUGCAGGUGUUUGGAACCUAAAUAUUUGCACCUGAAAAUAAUAGAAACCAUAUUACCUUAGUAAAAUUUAAGGAAAAUAUAUUUUAACAUAAUGAUUAAAUCUUAUUUUAAUGCAGACCUAAUAUCAGAUUCAUCAGUGAGUAAGAAUCCCGAUUCUACACAAAGAAAUUGAAUUGAUUCUGUUUUUUUCAAGAGAUGAAAUUGCUUCUUGUGGUUAUGAAGGCAGGUAUGGAGAAGCUAAGUGAGUUCUAU